RNAcentral lists this long non-coding RNA (1042 nucleotides) under Ananas comosus (pineapple). RNAcentral describes it as "long non-coding RNA (ACOM_LNC032353)". The record is from RNAcentral. Lineage: Eukaryota; Viridiplantae; Streptophyta; Magnoliopsida; Poales; Bromeliaceae.
UAAAUCAUUCCACCAACCAUGGACUUACUAGUGCAGAGACCCGCGCGAUGCAGCGGAUAGAUAAUAAAAAUAAAAUUUAAAAAUUUUAAUAAAUUUUAUAUUUACGAUUUAUUGAUAUAUAAAAAGCUAUAACAUAUUAAGUACAGUUAAUUUGUAUAACUAAAUUUACAUAGUAAGCAGAGGCCCCCGCGCGGACCGACUCAGCGAGCACUUAUAUAGGUCGCGGCUCGGCUUCGCGGGACGAUGCUUCUUGAAGGAGACAAUAUUCUUCAGAGGCUCUUCUUCUUCUUCUUCUUCUUUGUUAACACAAUGAGAGAAAGAGGGAGAUGAGUGCGGAGUAGGAGAUUAGACGAUGAUAUUUUUUUAUGGUGUAUGUAAAAGAGUUACAAAAGAGAGGGAGUAGGAGAUUAAUUAAUGGAGGAGGGGAGUGGUGCAUAUAAAAGAGUUACAAAAGAGAGGGAGUGGGAGAUUAAUGGAGGAGGAAAGUGGUUAAAGUUAUAAAAUAGAAUCUUAAUAUGGUGCAUGUAAUUAAAUAUUGCAUGUAAUUAGAGUAGUGGUGAGGUGAGUUAGGCGUUAAGAAAAGAAGAAGAUGGUUUGAUUUAAAGUUAGAUUUAAAGUUACAUAUAAUUAAAUGUUGUAACUUACAUAUAAUUAGAGGAGUGGGGAGGUGAAGAAUUGAGAGUUGAAAAGAGGAGAAGAUGGUUUGAUUUAAAAUUGGCUAUGAGAAGUAAGAAUAACAUGCCACGUGGCAAAAAGAAUUGUGGCUUCAUAUAGGUUUAUAGAUUUAUAGUUAUUUCAACCUUAUAAAAAAAUUGGAAAAAUAAAAUAAUAAUAAAAAGUUUUAUGGGAAAGGCAAGACCAGGACAAAAGACAUAUUAUUGCAUGCACUUACUCAUUUAUCUAUGAACCGUUACACUGUCGUAUCAGUUUUAGCAACAUAUCAAUAUUCGGUUAACUAAAUUAACUUAUAAAAUUUGAUUAUAAUAGUAUAAAAAAUUUGAGUCAGAAAAUUAUAAUAAAUUAAAAUUUGAGAACCAAAUAU